AGUGCCAGCCGGGCAGUGGCCUGGAGACCACGGGGCAGAGCCGGAGCGCCAUGCUCCUCUCUGCGUGGCUGUGCUGCGUGUGGACGAGUCCUCAGAAAGAGAAAAACUGCUCUCCUGAGGGUGGCACCCUGGCAUAUGGAAGUUCCUGGGGGGCCAGGGACUGAAUCCAAGCGGGGCGGCAACGUUAGAUCCUUUAACCCGCUGCACCAGGCCUGGAAUGGAACCCACGCUUCACCAGCAACCUGAGCCGCUGCAGUGGGGUUCUCAACCCACUGUGCCCUAGUGGGAACUCCACGCCUCCUCAUUUUAGAAUUAAGAGGUCCACUGUUCUGUUUUUCGAGUGUAUUCCUGAAUGAAAUCUUUGAAAACAGGUCAUAGGGAUCGCUUCGAUUCCUGGAUGAGUUCAAGCAAUCACUUGUCUCCGAUUCUGAUGUUCAGAACAGGUGGUCCAGGUGGGGACAUUCGCCUGAAGCCACACCUGCAGAACCGGAAUGGCGUGCAGACUGGACGCUCCGGGAGGCAGAGGGUUUGGGGCUCCUCCAGGCCUGGUCUCAGUGCUCACACAGUCAGUGCCCAGGCCCGCGAAGAUGCGCCAGGACUGUAUGCCUUAGUAGAGUGAAGGGCUGCUUGUCUGAAGUUUCCACGGAACAGGAGGGCACCCUAAUCUGGAGGUGGGCAUCAAUGCUUUUUUUUUCCUAAGUUAUGUCUCCAAACCGGGUGGCUACUUUGGCGAGACCCCAAACACCCAACGACCAGCCAAACCAAACCCCCAGACACCCUUCAAGCUUCCCCAUCGACGUCUGGGAGCCACAGCAGAGCGUGUCCCCGCUCUGAGGGGCAGCCUUAAACUUCCGAAGCUGACUGGCCGCGGCCCUGACCCGCUCCUUCCCUCUGAAACGCAGGCCCGCGUCUCCCGCUGGCCUCCCUCCCUUUGGGGGUGGUUUCUUGCCGCCGCCUCCGUGGGGGUUUGUGUGUAGCACGGUGGCAUCAAGAAAAAAGCGAACACUUACGUGGUGCUUGCUGCCCUUUGAGACAGUUCUUCUUUGACGAAGGCCUUGCCCCUGUGUGGCCAGAAUCCCAGCCGGCCUGACUUGGGAUUAACGGUGUCCAUUCGUGGAGGAAGGUGGGGCCAGGUGCGUCAGAGCACGUGCUGCCCGUCAGACGGCUCAGCUGAUGACCCUGUGCCGGAAAAGGACUCGGCUGGCAUGGCCCCUCGCGGGGACAGGUGCUCAGGCACAGAGUGGGUCCCUUCGGCAAAGGAUGACGCCCGGGCAUGAAUAUGUAUGUUUUGAGGAAGGAGUGACAGUGGAGACAGGACAAAGGACCGCAGCCAGGGCCCCCUCCCCAAGGCCUAUAAUGACACCAGGAGCCAGAGCUUCCUUGAGGAAAGCUGGUCCUGCUCACUUUUCGAGGUGAAACUGCACCUGAAGCCACGUUCCUGCGACGGGAACACUGCGGGCUCCUUCUGGCAGCAUCAUCAACACGACGUCUUUAUGCUGACUGCAUCCUCUGUCCAGAGACGUCGGAAAAAACAGGAUGAGCCCCGUGGGUCUAAAGAGGACGCUCCACUUCCUUUCUCAAAACCUUCCGCCGUGUCCUCCCACCUUUGGUCUUGAAUUCUAGAAGAUGGAUCUGCUGGCCCCGGACCCAAGAAGACAGUGCGCCACGGGUCUUUUCCACAGCAGCUCCGUCUCACGAAACACAGGUGCUUUUUACCGGAUCUUUCCUGCGGCAUUUAAAAAAAUCUGCCCUGCACUUUGCCACAUUGAGUUUUUCCAUCCCCAAGGCACCGCUGCGAGCUGGUGGGAGGGGAAAGCGUUAAGUUCUCUUAGGCCUGCGGAGGGGAGAGGUCGACAGGUCCUGAAUCACACAGGGACUCAGAAUACCUGCCUGGGCGGUUUCUGAGUCAGUUUGAGGGCUGGCUGUUUAUACAGCAGGAGGUAUUUCUUCAUUUGGGGAGCUUCAUUUGGGGGGGGGGGCUCACUGAGUGUUUACUCCCUGCUCCCAAGCCAACAAAGUGAAAACAAAAAUAUAUUCAGCAAAGUGUGUAGA
This 2052-nucleotide long non-coding RNA is filed under the name Sus scrofa (pig). RNAcentral describes it as "lncRNA (ENSSSCG00060058692.1)". The record is from RNAcentral. Lineage: Eukaryota; Metazoa; Chordata; Mammalia; Artiodactyla; Suidae.